UGGGGUCCUCGUCUGCUUUAACCUGCCACUCCUGGAGCAGCAUAGGAUAGUGUUUAAGGAAUUCCUUGUUGCAGGAUGUAUAAAAAGUGACCAACCGCGAAGACCCAAGUUGAUUUUAUUCACAUAUUGCUUCAAUUCCUCAUGCGCUCGAACCUGCUCCAAUCGAACGCAGCUCGGAUCACCUACCGUGAGCCUCACUUCCCUAAAAAGCCCCCGAGUCGCAGACUUCGAACAUCUAUGGCAAGUGAGACGAAGAUUUUUGAGUGAUUUUCGAUCUGAAAAGGAUGCGAUGCGAGCCCAAAGUUCGCUCGGGAGCUGAGGGAUAGCCAGUGCCAUCUUGGCAGACUGAAAAGUAAAGCCC
RNAcentral lists this small RNA (361 nucleotides) under Histoplasma capsulatum var. duboisii H88. RNAcentral describes it as "Histoplasma capsulatum H88 hypothetical RNA". The record is from RNAcentral. Lineage: Eukaryota; Fungi; Ascomycota; Eurotiomycetes; Onygenales; Ajellomycetaceae.